RNAcentral lists this long non-coding RNA (857 nucleotides) under Homo sapiens (human). RNAcentral describes it as "novel transcript". Lineage: Eukaryota; Metazoa; Chordata; Mammalia; Primates; Hominidae. The record is from RNAcentral.
GUUGCGGCUGCCGCCCCGACGCCCGCGCAUCCCCGCUCGCCGCGCCCGCCGCCGCGAUGUCCGGGGCCGGCCUAGCCGCGGUGGUGAGCUGCCUGCGCCCGCAGCCCGGCGAGGAGCCGCAGACCCAUGAGGACCUUCUCCUGGCAGCUGCCUAUGUUUUGGAUGCCCAGUACAACAGAAAUGUUCCAUUUGAAACUCACCUCAGGCCAUCAGACGUUACUAUUUUUAUAACCACUAGACAACGCAGGUUGCCGCAUACUUCUUUAUUUGUGUAGACCUCGCUCUUGCCCUGUUUGAAGAGUCUGAGUUGCUUCCCCUGCCUUUCUUGGCCACCUCAAUAGCAGAAGUACUCUGCCUGACUGCAUACUUUGGCAGACUGGUACAUUUUGCAAAAGUCACUCCUCAAAUGGUUUUCUGGAAGGAUACAAAAGACAUCUGCACCAUGGUAACCACAGUGGCGAGUGUUCAUUGUAGUACCUGUAAGAGUUUAUGACCGAAGGCAGGAGCCAUGAAGAAAAAAGACUCAAUAGAUUUGCUUUUGAUGAAACAACAACACUUCCAUACAGUGAACGCCAUAAGCACAACUGCAAGCAAACCCCAAACUGAAGAACAAAUAGGGCAAAAUGUGGCAGUGCAGACAUUUCAGCAUAUCAAGAGCACUUCCAAAUUACAGGAAAAAAAAGAUAUCUCAAUAGAUAAUUUUGCUGAAGAUAAGUGAAGGCAACUCAUAAGGAAAAAAUAUGUAAAAUGGCCGAUAGGAAAGAUGUUUAACGUCACUAAUUAAAAAUUAUAGAAUAAAACGACAAUAAAAUACCAUGUGUUUGCCUAUAAAAAAUCUUAGCAAGAUUGAAAACAAA